Molecule: ribosomal RNA, 485 nt
Filed under: uncultured bacterium
Lineage: Bacteria
Description: partial 16S ribosomal RNA
Rfam family: Bacterial small subunit ribosomal RNA
Source: RNAcentral
UUGCACGCUGGCGGCAUGCCUUACACAUGCAAGUCGAACGGCAGCACGGGUGCUUGCACCUGGUGGCGAGUGGCGAACGGGUGAGUAAUACAUCGGAACAUGUCCUGUAGUGGGGGAUAGCCCGGCGAAAGCCGGAUUAAUACCGCAUACGAUCCACGGAUGAAAGCGGGGGACCUUCGGGCCUCGCGCUAUAGGGUUGGCCGAUGGCUGAUUAGCUAGUUGGUGGGGUAAAGGCCUACCAAGGCGACGAUCAGUAGCUGGUCUGAGAGGACGACCAGCCACACUGGGACUGAGACACGGCCCAGACUCCUACGGGAGGCAGCAGUGGGGAAUUUUGGACAAUGGGCGAAAGCCUGAUCCAGCAAUGCCGCGUGUGUGAAGAAGGCCUUCGGGUUGUAAAGCACUUUUGUCCGGAAAGAAAUCCUUGACUCUAAUACAGUCGGGGGAUGACGGUACCGGAACAAUAAGCACCGGCUAACUACGUG